This 343-nucleotide long non-coding RNA is filed under the name Nicotiana tabacum (common tobacco). RNAcentral's name for it is "long non-coding RNA (NTAB_LNC000672)". Lineage: Eukaryota; Viridiplantae; Streptophyta; Magnoliopsida; Solanales; Solanaceae. The record is from RNAcentral.
CUACAAUAUCGGUCACUCUCUAUUUUCCUCACAGACUAUUUUCUUAUACCUUGUCUGUGAAACCUCACUCUUUCUUUCUCUCUUUGUUGGUGUGAAGAAAUGAGAGUUGAAGCUCUCCUUUUAUAGCCAAAACUUCACCCUCUAAAGCCUACAAUAUUUGACAAUUUACACACACUUUUCACAAUUCAACAAAGUUGGCUACCAAACCAAAGAAAUUCAACAAGGUUGGCUACCAAACCAAACUAAUUCAACAAGGUUGGCUACCAACCAAACCAAGUCAACAAGGUUGACUACCAAACCAAAAAAAACUCUUAUUAGGCACAUGCCUAAUACUUUUUCAAUG